This is a long non-coding RNA of Lagopus muta (rock ptarmigan), 960 nucleotides long. RefSeq lists it as uncharacterized. The transcript is spliced from 3 exons. NCBI's taxonomy places the organism in Eukaryota, Metazoa, Chordata, Aves, Galliformes, Phasianidae. The record is from RefSeq and is a predicted model, not a curated record.
GUUGAGUGUGGCGUUAGGCCGCCUCGGCCCGCGGGGCGGGCGGGUUGGCGGUGUGCGCGCUGCUGUUGUGCGGGAUGAGCAGGAGGGGUGUGAGGGAAUGUGGGGGACGUAGAAGGCCAUCUCCGGUGUCCCAGGAAGGGAUUGGAUAUCAGGACUGCAAGCAGUGGGUUUCUGUGCACAGACGAUGUUUUCCAAGGAGAGCAGAUCCACACGUACCUCCCAAGGAAAACUGACUUGGCAUGGGCCAUGCAGAACCCAUGGGCACCCAGGGGAAGGAGAAGGUGCUUGGCAGUGCAAAAUGAUGGCUGCUUUGCACCAGGAAGGCGGGAGGGGCAACACCUGCAUUUGGGGACCCUGCCAAAGCCCUGUUUUCCAUCCAAGAGCAUCACGCUGGCGGCCUGCUGUCCCUGAGCUGCCCUGAGAUGGCCAGGUCAGGAGUGCAUCGCAGUGACACACGUGGGUGCACGUGGGGCUGGGGAGAUAUUUGGGCUGGGCAUAUACAUUCCCUUAUGCCAAGCUACUAGUAAACAAAGUCAGCUCCCUAAUUAUCCAACUUAUUUGGAAUGGCAAAGGCCUGGACAUUAAUCAUCCUGUCCUACAUAAGUAUAAAUAACACUGGCUUUGUUUAGCUCCAGACUUACCAGCUGGAUGUUUGCCAGGCUGGUGCCACCUCAUGUGUCAAGUGACAGUGGCUUGGUUGGUUGUCUCACAUCCUCUCCCACUACGUAUCUCCAGGACCCUCUGUGCCAGGCAAUGGCUGGCUGCCCAUCUCUGCCUGUGUCCUGGCAGAUAAGGGUCACAGAGCAGUGGUGUGUCCCCAGGGUGACUGUCACCCCAGGGGCUCAGUGUCCUAUCCAGCUGGUGACAUGAGUCCUCGCCUACAUGUAAGCAAGUAUAUGAACCCCAAGGAGUUGAGAAAGGUGCUUGAGUGGUAGGAUUUUGCUUUGUCAGAGCUUUGAA